UGUAUGUAUACUUAUGUAUACAUAUGUAUGUAUACUUAUGUAUACUUAUGUAUACAUACACACACGCACACACACACAUAUACACACAUACACAC
RNAcentral lists this microRNA precursor (95 nucleotides) under Mustela putorius furo (domestic ferret). Its description in RNAcentral is "miRNA (ENSMPUG00000021200.1)". Lineage: Eukaryota; Metazoa; Chordata; Mammalia; Carnivora; Mustelidae. The record is from RNAcentral.